GAGAAAAGGAGGAGGGAUUAAGGAAAGAGAGAAGGAAAGGGAUGGAGAGAGAGGAAUUUGACUGUGAAGGUACGAGAGAAAAAAGGAUCCUCGCCUGCGUCUCUUUGUAGGCUUAGAGAGAGAAAAUGGGACUCUCUCUCUCUUAGAAGUCGAAUGCUGCAUGAGUGUCCAUAGCUUUCCCAGUUCCAAUUCCAAUGGGUUGGGGUCUGCGUUCUCACUCGAAGAAGAGUGAGGGAACAACGCAAGGGAAGAGUUCCACUCCUCCUUUUUCGGGUCGGGAAUUCGGCCUCCAGACUGCCCUGCUGCACUACCUCUCCAUGACUUCGAUUAAAUGCCUCACUGAGGUUAUGCUAUGACAAGUGAGCUCAGACCUGCCGCCGGUGACCCCACCCACCCUGAAGAAGCUCUGGAGAUGAGGAGGUCAUUCCAGAUGACAUAACCUUCUUAGGGAUGUUGUGCACAUGCAUCGAGUAGAGCAUAAGCAGUUCGGACACUACAAUUGCAUGGUGUUCACACCCUGUAGGUGAGGUUUACAUGAAAUACACCACAAGUUGCAGGGAUGCUGCGUGUGGUCUGUUUGGAGGUUGAAGAGAAAGCGGAUGCCCUCAGCCGAGAAGGUGAGCAUUGGAAGCGUGGCGAAGAGGCCAUUCUCCAAUUUCCCUCUGUAAAAAUUAUUGAGAUAGCUGUUUUGCUUUUUUUAAUGUUGACUUGAGGGCAUCCCAGAGGUUAUUGGUAAACUUACUCGCACACAGACACAUACUUAAGCAGGAAAGAGAGACAAACAUGGCAAUUCCCUCUGUGGGAGUGAGUGGGUCCCAUCCUACUUGUCAUGUGCUGGCGCACUCUCUGAUAGAGAUUGAUUGUAUACACCACCCACCCCACAUGGCUACUUUGGUUGUAUAACUUGUGAGGCUGGUAACCUCCAACCCUCUUAUCCCUUCUAAGCAUACAUACAUGAUACAUGUAUGGAGCCUUUCUGAAUUGUAUGUGGGAUGCAUCUCUUGGGUUAUAGAAAGAAUCCCAUAAAUCCUAGUAUAUAGCAGCAGACUCGGAGGCUCGCCUUUCGCUUUAACAGAAGAAGAGAUGGGGUUCAAGGCAAGGUGCAGGAAGAAAUUCCGAGGGACUGUGCGAUUCUUGACGUUGGCUUACUCCACCAGCGGUGGUGGUAGAGAUGAUCUAUUUUACGAAUACGAUCCGACUCCUUAUGAUGGGGGUUAUGAUCCAGAUCUUACUUUCGGGAAGCCCCUCCCCGCAUCCAAACAAACCUGCUAUUCUCCUUCCAAAUAUUCAUCGUCAUCCUUUGAGAAUUUCGACUAUGGAAGCCUUCCUUCCCCUUAUGGGGACUCCCAACCAGCAGCAACUACUACUAUUACUCAAGAAGAAAAAGAGGAAAGGCCAACCCGUGAUGAAGACAGCGAGUCCCACCAUGACCCCGGCGACUCACAUGGAAAUGGAAUAGAAGAUGACGUGCUGGAAUUGAGCGGGCCACUGGUGAACCCGUCUCAUGGUGAUGGUGAGGAGCAGCCAGUCUACCAUGGCUAUGGGUGGCCAUGGCCGGAAGAAUAUGGGUAUGGAUAUGGUUAUGGAAGCACUGACCACGGUUUCAGAACUUCUCCGGCAUCUGAUUAUUGGUGGGAUGAGCCAAGCCUCUUUGCAGACCCUUUCAAUUUGAGGGACUCCCUUCCCCCUUCUCAGAGCUAUUAUAAUGGAAGAGUUCGCAACAAUCAACAAGAAACUGAACAGGGAGGCCAUGCAAGUUCAUGGAAAGGGGCUGAGGAGUUAAUGGAUUCCAUCUUUGGAUCGUCAAAUCCCAAUUAUGAAUACCCAGCCCCUGAAAGGUCUGGCUAUGACCAACACAUCUAUCAACUGGACAAACAUGAGGAAUCUUCAUGGUUUCAAAGUUCAUACCGCUAUGCAUCUUACUAGUGACUAAGGGAAGUUGUUCUAUGUAAAAGACUGCAUCCAUGUCCUGAUCGUCGAGAGCUUUUCACAACAAGUUUAGAGAGAUUAGAGUGGAUGCAGAAGGAGCGCAAGUCAAUUAUCUGCAAACAGUUGCUGCGUGAAGUCAUUUACCUUUUGAAGCUAUGUAACACUCAACUUACGCGGUGCUGACGAAAUGGAGGCCAGAGUCACGACACAACAUUGCGAGUGCUCAUGGAGGUAAUGAAUAAGAAAUGCGGCUUCUAGGUUGGUCCAUCCAUGCCUCUGCCAGAGCAAGGAGCGGGAGCGGUGCAGCGGUGUUGGAGGGAAGUAAAAAGGCGAGAGGGGUUAGUGGUUCAUAAGAUUCGAGAUGGGAUGAUGAUUGUGUGUGCUGCGGAAUCACACAAAUUGAAAUUUGAAAGGCGAAUCGGGAUGCUAAAACAAAGUUUCACUUACUGACAAACGUCACAUGCGAGGGGAGAGAGCAUAGAUUUCAGACAAUUUUUUUUCUUGUUUUUUAGGGGAGAAACCAUACCUGUACUAGUGUUAGAACCAAUGCGGUGUCUUCUCUCUCUUUUUACAACUAAGAGUGGCAUUAGGAGCAGUGAUGUGGCAGUAUCAUGUCAUCUCAUCCUCUCGUGGGACAAUUUAACUCACCCCGAUGGCAAUUUUUUUUUUUGAAUAAAUGGGGAUGGCGACCCCCUACCCAUUUUAUUAGAAACUAAGAAUAAGUUACAUGGAUGAUCCUUUUACAACCUUUCUUUUUUAAAAAAGAACAAUAGCAACUUCAGAUAAAAAAAAAGAAAACGCACGACACACCAUUGCUUUAAUCCUAAACACUGCUUUUUUGACACUUAAGAAUCGGCCUUCAUAUAUAUUAAUAACAAUGUAUAUCACAAGAAUGUUUAAGGGGAUGUAUUGCAAAGUCGGGAGAAAACCAAACUAUGAGCAAAUGUGAUUUUGAAAGUAGAAAGAGGGGUGCACAUGGGAGAUGUGAGAGGAGAGAGACGGGGGAAUCUUGAUUGGUGUGGGUUGGACAGUAAAAUUGGAAA
Molecule: RNA transcript, 2972 nt
Organism: Amborella trichopoda
Lineage: Eukaryota; Viridiplantae; Streptophyta; Magnoliopsida; Amborellales; Amborellaceae
Source: RefSeq, a predicted model, not a curated record